RNAcentral lists this ribosomal RNA (468 nucleotides) under uncultured bacterium. Its description in RNAcentral is "partial 16S ribosomal RNA". It matches the Rfam family "Bacterial small subunit ribosomal RNA", at positions 28 to 507 of the family's 1533-position model. The record is from RNAcentral.
GACGAACGCUGGCGGCGUGCUUAACACAUGCAAGUCGAACGGAAAGGCCCUGCUUUUGUGGGGUGCUCGAGUGGCGAACGGGUGAGUAACACGUGAGUAACCUGCCCUUGACUUUGGGAUAACUUCAGGAAACUGGGGCUAAUACCGGAUAGGAGCUCCUGCUGCAUGGUGGGGGUUGGAAAGUUUCGGCGGUUGGGGAUGGACUCGCGGCUUAUCAGCUUGUUGGCGGGGUAGUGGCUUACCAAGGCUUUGACGGGUAGCCGGCCUGAGAGGGUGACCGGCCACAUUGGGACUGAGAUACGGCCCAGACUCCUACGGGAGGCAGCAGGGGGGAUUAUUGCAAAGGGGGGGGAAGCCGGAGGCAGCAGCGCCGCGGGCGGGAUGACGGCCUUGGGUUUGUAAACCGCUUUCGCCUGGGACGAAGCGGGAGUGACGGUAAUGGGUAAAGAAGCACCGGCUAACUACGUG